This 497-nucleotide ribosomal RNA is filed under the name uncultured bacterium. RNAcentral's name for it is "partial 16S ribosomal RNA". It matches the Rfam family "Bacterial small subunit ribosomal RNA", at positions 28 to 507 of the family's 1533-position model. The record is from RNAcentral.
GAUGAACGCUGGCGGCGUGCCUAAUACAUGCAAGUCGAGCGAACAGACGAGGAGCUUGCUCCUUUGACGUUAGCGGCGGACGGGUGAGUAACACGUGGAUAACCUACCUAUAAGACUGGGAUAACUUCGGGAAACCGGAGCUAAUACCGGAUAACAUGUUGAACCGCAUGGUUCAACAGUGAAAGACGGUCUUGCUGUCACUUCUCGAUGGAUCCGCGCCGCAUUAGCUAGUUGGUAAGGUAACGGCUUACCAAGGCAACGAUGCGUAGCCGACCUGAGAGGGUGAUCGGCCACACUGGAACUGAGACACGGUCCAGACUCCUACGGGAGGCAGCAGUAGGGAAUCUUCCGCAAUGGGCGAAAGCCUGACGGAGCAACGCCGCGUGAGUGAAGAAGGUCUUCGGAUCGUAAAACUCUGUUAUUAGGGAAGAACAAAUGUGUAAGUAACUAUGCACGUCUUGACGGUACCUAAUCAGAAAGCCACGGCUAACUACGUG